RNAcentral lists this ribosomal RNA (492 nucleotides) under uncultured bacterium. RNAcentral's name for it is "partial 16S ribosomal RNA". It matches the Rfam family "Bacterial small subunit ribosomal RNA", at positions 29 to 507 of the family's 1533-position model. The record is from RNAcentral.
AGUGAACGCUGGCGGUAGGCCUAACACAUGCAAGUCGAACGGCAGCACAGUAAGAGCUUGCUCUUACGGGUGGCGAGUGGCGGACGGGUGAGGAAUACAUCGGAAUCUACUUUUUCGUGGGGGAUAACGUAGGGAAACUUACGCUAAUACCGCAUACGACCUACGGGUGAAAGCAGGGGAUCUUCGGACCUUGCGCGAUUGAAUGAGCCGAUGUCGGAUUAGCUAGUUGGCGGGGUAAAGGCCCACCAAGGCGACGAUCCGUAGCUGGUCUGAGAGGAUGAUCAGCCACACUGGAACUGAGACACGGUCCAGACUCCUACGGGAGGCAGCAGUGGGGAAUAUUGGACAAUGGGCGCAAGUCUGAUCCAGCCAUACCGCGUGGGUGAAGAAGGCCUUCGGGUUGUAAAGCCCUUUUGUUGGGAAAGAAAAGCAGCAGGUUAAUACCCCGCUGUUCUGACAGUACCCAAAGAAUAAGCACCGGCUAACUUCGUG